Tetranychus urticae (two-spotted spider mite) is the source of this 739-nucleotide long non-coding RNA. RefSeq lists it as uncharacterized. The record is from RefSeq and is a predicted model, not a curated record. Lineage: Eukaryota; Metazoa; Arthropoda; Arachnida; Trombidiformes; Tetranychidae.
UGGACCAGAGUAUCGGUGAUCUUACCUUGGCUAACUACAGAAGAUUACCGAAGAAUGGUUAGUUCUGCUGAUGUUGGUGUUUCAUUGCAUACAUCGAGUAGUCAAUUAGAUUUACCAAUGAAAAUUAUUGAUUUAUUCGGAUGUUGUGUCCCUGUUCUUGCAGUUUCAUUUAAAUGUUUGCCUGAACUUGUAAUUGAAGAUUUUAUUAAGUAACAAGUUUAUUAUAAUUCGCAAUUAUAAACAUGCACGCGACCUCAUUGCCAUUUUCGGUGAUCUUGAAAUUACUGUACAAUUUCUUACUGAAAUUGAUCAAUUGGUACAAUUAAUAGAGUCUCCAAUCUUUGCAUAUUUGAGGCUUGAACUAUUGGAUACUGGAAAAAACGAAGACCUGGUCAAGAGUCUUUAUGGUUUAUUGAUGCUUCUCCUACAAUCGGAUGCUUUCCAUCUCUUGAGGAAGAGACUUCAAUGUGUACCAAACUUGAAAAUAUUUUCAGUCAAUGGAUCAAUCAGCUCUUCAGAGACUUCAACUCAACCUAUCAUGGAUUUCAAGGAUUUGCUAAAACAUUUUCUGGAUAUUCAGGAGAAACACAAGACUUUGCGAAAAAGAGAAAGGAUCUACCAAAACAUGGUGAAGAUAAAAUUGCAUCUAUCGAUGCCAGUCCAAUUUAAUGAGACACCAAUUGAUUUGAAAAUCAAUUAACUUUUAAAUGACUGAUCGAUUGAUAUUAAACUUCUCAGU